Molecule: unclassified non-coding RNA, 421 nt
Filed under: fungal sp.
Lineage: Eukaryota; Fungi
Description: partial internal transcribed spacer region
Rfam family: Eukaryotic small subunit ribosomal RNA (bases 1-46)
Source: RNAcentral
AAGUCGUAACAAGGUUUCCGUAGGUGAACCUGCGGAAGGAUCAUUAACACGCUUUUGUUUGUAACAAAACAAAACGUUUUAAACUCCAAAAGAAAUAGUGGAAAUAUAACUUCCGGAUGCGAAUUGUUGGGAACUGAGUAAAAUCGGUUCUUUGAAAAAAGGGACUUCAAGCAAUUGACACUUCAGAGUAGAGCAGUGAGGUGAAAUUCUCUUUAAUGAGAGUUUGGUUCUGAAAACAUUUGUAUCCGGUUAUCAUAAUCUGUUCUACAACCUCCAAAAUAUCAAACAAUAAACCCCAUGUACAACAACUUGAACUAAACAUUUUUUUGUCGUCCGCUUACACACUUGUUGUGUGAGAAGAUACUGCAAAGAAAAAACCUGAACUUAAGAACAACUCUUAACAACGGAUAUCUUGGUUCUC